Molecule: transfer RNA, 83 nt
Filed under: Candidatus Latescibacterota bacterium
Lineage: Bacteria; Pseudomonadati; Candidatus Latescibacterota
Also listed under: 1 other name
Description: tRNA-Ser
Rfam family: tRNA
About the family: Transfer RNA (tRNA) molecules are approximately 80 nucleotides in length. Their secondary structure includes four short double-helical elements and three loops (D, anti-codon, and T loops).
Source: RNAcentral
GGAGGGAUGGCCGAGUGGUUUAAGGCGGCGGUCUUGAAAACCGUUGGUCGCAAGACCCGUGGGUUCGAAUCCUACUCCCUCCG